Molecule: ribosomal RNA, 403 nt
Filed under: uncultured bacterium
Lineage: Bacteria
Description: bacterial SSU rRNA
Rfam family: Bacterial small subunit ribosomal RNA
Source: RNAcentral
GGGGAAUAUUGGGCAAUGGACGCAAGUCUGACCCAGCAACGCCGCGUGAAGGAAGAAGGCUUUCGGGUUGUAAACUUCUUUUAAGGGGGAAGAGUAGAAGACGGUACCCCUUGAAUAAGCCACGGCUAACUACGUGCCAGCAGCCGCGGUAAUACGUAGGUGGCAAGCGUUGUCCGGAUUUACUGGGUGUAAAGGGCGUGUAGCCGGGAAGGUAAGUCAGAUGUGAAAUCCAACGGCUUAACCGUUGAACUGCAUUUGAAACUGCAAGGCUAGAGUAUGGGAGAGGUAGGUGGAAUUCUCGGUGUAGGGGUAAAAUCCGUAGAGAUCGAGAGGAAUACUCAUUGCGAAGGCGACCUGCUGGAACAUUACUGACGCUGAGGUGCGAAAGCGUGGGGAGCAAACA